Molecule: ribosomal RNA, 253 nt
Filed under: uncultured bacterium
Lineage: Bacteria
Description: partial 16S ribosomal RNA
Rfam family: Bacterial small subunit ribosomal RNA
Source: RNAcentral
UACAGAGGUCUCAACCGUUGUUCGGAUUCAUUGGGCGUAAAGGGUGCGUAGGCGGUCGCGCAAGUCGGAUGUGAAAUCUUAGGGCUCAACCCUGAAACUGCAUUCGAUACUGCGUGGCUAGAGUACUGGAGAGGAGAGUGGAAUUCCUGGUGUAGCGGUGAAAUGCGCAGAUAUCAGGAAGAACACCCGUGGCGAAAGCGGCUCUCUGGAACGGUACUGACGCUGAGACGCGAAAGCGUGGGGAGCGAACAGG